UACGAAGGGUCCAAGCGUUGUUCGGAAUCAUUGGGCGUAAAGCGCGCGCAGGCGGAUCAGCAAGUCAGAUGUGAAAUCUCGGAGCUCAACUCCGAAACUGCGUCUGAAACUGCUAGUCUAGAGUGUCGGAGGGGGUAGGGGAAUUUCACGUGUAGGGGUAAAAUCCGUAGAGAUGUGAAGGAACACCGGUGGCGAAGGCGGCAUCCUGGACCGACACUGACGCUGAGGAGCGAAAGCCAGGGGAGCAAACGGG
This 253-nucleotide ribosomal RNA is filed under the name uncultured bacterium. Its description in RNAcentral is "partial 16S ribosomal RNA". It matches the Rfam family "Bacterial small subunit ribosomal RNA", at positions 524 to 776 of the family's 1533-position model. The record is from RNAcentral.